This 45-nucleotide non-coding RNA is filed under the name Schistosoma margrebowiei. Lineage: Eukaryota; Metazoa; Platyhelminthes; Trematoda; Strigeidida; Schistosomatidae. The record is from RNAcentral.
AUCCAACUGACGAGUCCCAAAUAGGGCAAAGCGCGCAUCCUGAAU